RNAcentral lists this unclassified non-coding RNA (430 nucleotides) under plant metagenome. RNAcentral's name for it is "partial contains 5.8S ribosomal RNA, internal transcribed spacer 2, and large subunit ribosomal RNA". The stretch from base 1 to 101 matches the Rfam family "5.8S ribosomal RNA", at positions 51 to 154 of the family's 154-position model. The record is from RNAcentral.
AACUGCGAUAAGUAGUGUGAAUUGCAUUUAGUGAAUCAUCGAAUCUUUGAACGCACCCUGCACUCACUGGUAUUCCGGUGAGUACGCCUGUUUCAGUAUCAUUGAAAACACACAAUCAAAACAUUUUCUUUGGUUUGAUUGGCUUUGGGUCUAUCAAAAAGUUUGGCUUGUUUCUUACAAGCCAAGCGGCCUGAAAUAUAUUGUCUGGCUAAUUGCAUCGUUGAUGAUCGCUAUUAGACUUUGGCUUUUUUAAAUGAACUGGAGGUUGAUUAACCAGUUUUAGCUUUAGUCAAAUGGUCAUUGUAAAAAAAAUCUCGAUCUUGGUUAGGUGUUUAUAGCCGAAAAUUUUUUUUUGGCUAUAACCGAAACCAAUAUAAUCACAUUUAGUUAUCGAUCUGAAAUCAGGUGGGACUACCCGCUGAACUUAAGC